This 799-nucleotide ribosomal RNA is filed under the name uncultured bacterium. RNAcentral describes it as "bacterial SSU rRNA". It matches the Rfam family "Bacterial small subunit ribosomal RNA", at positions 8 to 796 of the family's 1533-position model. The record is from RNAcentral.
AGAGUUUGAUCCUGGCUCAGAUUGAACGCUGGCGGCAUGCCUAACACAUGCAAGUCGAACGGCAGCACAGUGGUAGCAAUACCAUGGGUGGCGAGUGGCGGACGGGUGAGUAAUGCAUCGGGACCUACCUGAACGUGGGGGAUAACGUAGGGAAACUUACGCUAAUACCGCAUACGUCCUACGGGAGAAAGCGGGGGACCUUCGGGCCUCGCGCGGUCAGACGGACCGAUGUUCGAUUAGCUAGUUGGUGAGGUAAUGGCUCACCAAGGCGGCGAUCGAUAGCUGGUCUGAGAGGAUGAUCAGCCACACUGGAACUGAGACACGGUCCAGACUCCUACGGGAGGCAGCAGUGGGGAAUAUUGGACAAUGGGCGCAAGCCUGAUCCAGCAAUGCCGCGUGUGUGAAGAAGGCCUUCGGGUUGUAAAGCACUUUUAUCGGGAGCGAAAUACCAUUGGCUAAUAACCGGUGGGGCUGACGGUACCCGAGGAAUAAGCACCGGCUAACUUCGUGCCAGCAGCCGCGGUAAUACGAAGGGUGCAAGCGUUAAUCGGAAUUACUGGGCGUAAAGGGUGCGUAGGCGGUGAGUUAAGUCUGUCGUGAAAUCCCCGGGCUCAACCUGGGAAUGGCGAUGGAUACUGGCUCGCUAGAGUGUGUCAGAGGAUGGUGGAAUUUCCGGUGUAGCGGUGAAAUGCGUAGAGAUCGGAAGGAACAUCAGUGGCGAAGGCGGCCAUCUGGGACAACACUGACGCUGAAGCACGAAAGCGUGGGGAGCAAACAGAAUUAGAUACCCUGGUAGUCC